This 2831-nucleotide ribosomal RNA is filed under the name Escherichia coli. Its description in RNAcentral is "partial 23S ribosomal RNA". It matches the Rfam family "Bacterial large subunit ribosomal RNA". Lineage: Bacteria; Pseudomonadati; Pseudomonadota; Gammaproteobacteria; Enterobacterales; Enterobacteriaceae. The record is from RNAcentral.
GUGAUAUGAACCGUUAUAACCGGCGAUUUCCGAAUGGGGAAACCCAGUGUGUUUCGACACACUAUCAUUAACUGAAUCCAUAGGUUAAUGAGGCGAACCGGGGGAACUGAAACAUCUAAGUACCCCGAGGAAAAGAAAUCAACCGAGAUUCCCCCAGUAGCGGCGAGCGAACGGGGAGGAGCCCAGAGCCUGAAUCAGUGUGUGUGUUAGUGGAAGCGUCUGGAAAGGCGCGCGAUACAGGGUGACAGCCCCGUACACAAAAAUGCACAUGCUGUGAGCUCGAUGAGUAGGGCGGGACACGUGGUAUCCUGUCUGAAUAUGGGGGGACCAUCCUCCAAGGCUAAAUACUCCUGACUGACCGAUAGUGAACCAGUACCGUGAGGGAAAGGCGAAAAGAACCCCGGCGAGGGGAGUGAAAAAGAACCUGAAACCGUGUACGUACAAGCAGUGGGAGCCUCUUAAUGGGGUGACUGCGUACCUUUUGUAUAAUGGGUCAGCGACUUAUAUUCUGUAGCAAGGUUAACCGAAUAGGGGAGCCGAAGGGAAACCGAGUCUUAACUGGGCGUUAAGUUGCAGGGUAUAGACCCGAAACCCGGUGAUCUAGCCAUGGGCAGGUUGAAGGUUGGGUAACACUAACUGGAGGACCGAACCGACUAAUGUUGAAAAAUUAGCGGAUGACUUGUGGCUGGGGGUGAAAGGCCAAUCAAACCGGGAGAUAGCUGGUUCUCCCCGAAAGCUAUUUAGGUAGCGCCUCGUGAAUUCAUCUCCGGGGGUAGAGCACUGUUUCGGCAAGGGGGUCAUCCCGACUUACCAACCCGAUGCAAACUGCGAAUACCGGAGAAUGUUAUCACGGGAGACACACGGCGGGUGCUAACGUCCGUCGUGAAGAGGGAAACAACCCAGACCGCCAGCUAAGGUCCCAAAGUCAUGGUUAAGUGGGAAACGAUGUGGGAAGGCCCAGACAGCCAGGAUGUUGGCUUAGAAGCAGCCAUCAUUUAAAGAAAGCGUAAUAGCUCACUGGUCGAGUCGGCCUGCGCGGAAGAUGUAACGGGGCUAAACCAUGCACCGAAGCUGCGGCAGCGACACUAUGUGUUGUUGGGUAGGGGAGCGUUCUGUAAGCCUGUGAAGGUGGCCUGUGAGGGUUGCUGGAGGUAUCAGAAGUGCGAAUGCUGACAUAAGUAACGAUAAAGCGGGUGAAAAGCCCGCUCGCCGGAAGACCAAGGGUUCCUGUCCAACGUUAAUCGGGGCAGGGUGAGUCGACCCCUAAGGCGAGGCCGAAAGGCGUAGUCGAUGGGAAACAGGUUAAUAUUCCUGUACUUGGUGUUACUGCGAAGGGGGGACGGAGAAGGCUAUGUUGGCCGGGCGACGGUUGUCCCGGUUUAAGCGUGUAGGCUGGUUUUCCAGGCAAAUCCGGAAAACCAAGGCUGAGGCGUGAUGACGAGGCACUACGGUGCUGAAGUGACAAAUGCCCUGCUUCCAGGAAAAGCCUCUAAGCAUCAGGUAACAUCAAAUCGUACCCCAAACCGACACAGGUGGUCAGGUAGAGAAUACCAAGGCGCUUGAGAGAACUCGGGUGAAGGAACUAGGCAAAAUGGUGCCGUAACUUCGGGAGAAGGCACGCUGAUAUGUAGGUGAAGCGACUUGCUCGUGGAGCUGAAAUCAGUCGAAGAUACCAGCUGGCUGCAACUGUUUAUUAAAAACACAGCACUGUGCAAACACGAAAGUGGACGUAUACGGUGUGACGCCUGCCCGGUGCCGGAAGGUUAAUUGAUGGGGUUAGCGGUAACGCGAAGCUCUUGAUCGAAGCCCCGGUAAACGGCGGCCGUAACUAUAACGGUCCUAAGGUAGCGAAAUUCCUUGUCGGGUAAGUUCCGACCUGCACGAAUGGCGUAAUGAUGGCCAGGCUGUCUCCACCCGAGACUCAGUGAAAUUGAACUCGCUGUGAAGAUGCAGUGUACCCGCGGCAAGACGGAAAGACCCCGUGAACCUUUACUAUAGCUUGACACUGAACAUUGAGCCUUGAUGUGUAGGAUAGGUGGGAGGCUUUGAAGUGUGGACGCCAGUCUGCAUGGAGCCGACCUUGAAAUACCACCCUUUAAUGUUUGAUGUUCUAACGUUGGCCCCUAAUCGGGGUUGCGGACAGUGUCUGGUGGGUAGUUUGACUGGGGCGGUCUCCUCCUAAAGAGUAACGGAGGAGCACGAAGGUUGGCUAAUCCUGGUCGGACAUCAGGAGGUUAGUGCAAUGGCAUAAGCCAGCUUGACUGCGAGCGUGACGGCGCGAGCAGGUGCGAAAGCAGGUCAUAGUGAUCCGGUGGUUCUGAAUGGAAGGGCCAUCGCUCAACGGAUAAAAGGUACUCCGGGGAUAACAGGCUGAUACCGCCCAAGAGUUCAUAUCGACGGCGGUGUUUGGCACCUCGAUGUCGGCUCAUCACAUCCUGGGGCUGAAGUAGGUCCCAAGGGUAUGGCUGUUCGCCAUUUAAAGUGGUACGCGAGCUGGGUUUAGAACGUCGUGAGACAGUUCGGUCCCUAUCUGCCGUGGGCGCUGGAGAACUGAGGGGGGCUGCUCCUAGUACGAGAGGACCGGAGUGGACGCAUCACUGGUGUUCGGGUUGUCAUGCCAAUGGCACUGCCCGGUAGCUAAAUGCGGAAGAGAUAAGUGCUGAAAGCAUCUAAGCACGAAACUUGCCCCGAGAUGAGUUCUCCCUGAGACUUAGAGUCUCCUGAAGGAACGUUGAAGACGACGACGUUGAUAGGCCGGGUGUGUAAGCGCAGCGAUGCGUUGAGCUAACCGGUACUAAUGAACCGUGAGGCUUAACCUUACAACGCCGAAG